Oryctolagus cuniculus (rabbit) is the source of this 4596-nucleotide non-coding RNA. The record is from RefSeq and is a predicted model, not a curated record. Lineage: Eukaryota; Metazoa; Chordata; Mammalia; Lagomorpha; Leporidae.
GGGGCUACGGGGAGGGCGGGGUCGAUCCGUGAGCGGGGUUUUCUCCGGGUGCCGGCGGAUUCUGAGAAAAAGAUUGAGUUUGUGCUGAUCGGCUUCGAGGUUGAAGCAGAUUACUGUGCUAGUGGACCGGGACUGACUGUGGGUCGUGAGCACACUUCACGCCUCUGAGUGCCAGUUUCUGCUGUACGAAGGGGCGCCCUCCAGCCCUGGGAGAGCUGGAUCCCGCGACGGAACGCAGCCUCGCUGUCGCCCACUUUUGCUGCGUCUUUAUUCUGCCAAAAGCUGGGGUGGAGCCACAGCGGGCGGACCGUGAGAGAGCCGGCGGCCCGAGGGUGCGAGCCCCGGAGGAGGCCGGCGUUCGCGCCAGGUCGCGGCCCUCCUGCCAGCCGAGCGUGGGUCAGUCUUUAUCGCGAAGGGAAGAGGCACAGGAAGAGUUGGAAGGGCCGACCUUUGUCCCUCGGACCAAGCAUCAAGUCAGCAGAAAUUUAAAAUAGCGGAUACGCGGCAGCAAAGCGUCUCGGGCAGGCAGGUUGCGUGGUUAAACUCUAGGUUCGGAGCGGCUGAGCCUGGCUCCUGCUUGCGUCUCACUAAAGACAGGACCUUGGAUAAAUUAUAUAACCGCUCUGAGCCUCGGUUUCCUGGUCGCUAAGCGGAUGCAAAUUAAAUCUACUUCACUGCGCGGUUAUGAAGAUUACAUGAAAGAAUCUAUGUAAAAUGCUAGUAUUAGUGUGCCAAUCCUGAUGGAAGAUGGAGGCGCUGGAAGGUUCCAUCAGGUGUCAUAAGAUCUGACUACUAGAAAACUCAAAAUGAUAAAUGUAGCUCUUGUUACAUUUCUUCUGGCUGGGCACCGGAAUGCGCACAUAAAGGGCCUUUCAAUGCAAGACAAGAAGGAAUGAGUACAUGCUUGCCUCUUUCCCAUCCAAUUUCUCCCCAGCAGGGGAUCUUCCUGAAAUAAUGCAGAAUGGAGUACCUCACACAUUCCCCCAACACAAACAGGAACUUGUUACUCACUUGCCAUUGUUCUUGGGGAAAAGAACAAAAGCCCAGAUCUGUCCUCCUAGACUGCUGACUUCCUCAACCUGGCCCCACACCGGCCACAGAGCCACCUUCCAAUCCUUGGCCAGGAAGCGCCUUCCCACCUCAGGGCCUUUUCAUAGACCCUGCCUGGAAGUCUCCCACUGUCUUCUCCUUGCCUACUUCUUCUUCAGAUCUCACGUCACUCACUCUGCCUCUCUGAAAAGAGGAUCACUUCCCUUUACUUUGGAGUCUUCUUUCAAAGCAUCAGCACAGUUGUAAUUGCACAUUUAUUUGUGAGUGAUUUGUGAUGGGUAUCCUUUUCCCUUACCAGAGUGUAAUCUCCUUGGAGGCACAGGGUAUCUGCGAUUUUUUGAUCACCCUAUCCUCGGUACCAAGAACUGCAGUACUUGAAUGGUUUAGGUCAUGUGAUGAAUGAAUGAAUGCAUUGAUCAGUCUCCUCUGACCCAAAUUCUAUGAGAAAUAGGCAAAAUCUUUACUCUUUUCUGUUAUCAAUAUUCCUUAACAGGGACCAAAUGCAUCCUUUUAGAACCCAGAACCUUCUCAGAGUAGAUGCACUGUUCUUUCCUGGAUAUGAGUUCAUCUUCAGCCAGGAAGGAAUUCUUUCCUUCCUUCCUUCCUUCCUUCCUUCCUUCCUUCCUUCCUUCCUUCCUUCCUUCCUUCUGUUAGGAAACUGGCACAGUUUUAUCUAUGGCACAAUCUACACCCUGAUUUACACCUUAGGCCCUAGCCGCCACCGCCCCCCCCCCCCCCCACGCCCCCAGUUGCUGGAAGCCAGGUGGUCACAUGGCCCAAACUCUGUUGUCAAGCUCCACCCCCAUCCUAAUGAGAUUCGCUGCUCCUGCUUCCCUGCCCGCCCUCGGGCAAAGUUUUAAAAGGGCCUGUUCCGGAACACGUGGCUUUCUUGGCUCUUCCCUCUUGGCUCUGCUCUCCUGCUCUCUUGGCUCUUCUCUCUGCUCUAUCUUCUCUCCUUACUAGCCCCUCUCCUCUGUCUGGCUCUCUCUCUUACCCUUCUUCGUCCCUCCCCUCCAGUCUGCUGGGUUUCCCCCAAUAAACUCUUUCCCUUACUCCAGUGUCCAGUGUGUUUUGUGACGACUAACACCUACCUUCCUUCCUUCCUUCCUUCCUUCCUUCCUUCCUUCCUUCCUUCCUUUCUUUUUUUAAGAUUUAUUUAUUUAUUUGAAAGGCAGAGUUACACAGAGAGAGAAAGAGAUCUUCCAUCCUCUGGUUCACUCCCCAGUUGGCCAUAAUGGCUGGAGCUGAGCCUAUCUGAAGCCAGGAGCAAGGAGCCUCUUCCGGGUCUCCCAUGCGGGUGCAAGGGGCCAAGGACUUGGCCCAUCUCCAUUGCUUUCCCAGGCCAUAGCAAAGAGUUGGAUCAGAAGUGAAGCAGCCGGGACUCGAACCAGCGCCUGUAUGGGAUGCCAGCACUGCAAGCGGUGGCUUUACCUGCUACACUGCAGCGCCAGCCCCAGGACUGCAUUUCUUAAAAAGAUUUAUUUAUUUGAGAGGCAGAGUGACUGAGAGGGAAAGACAGAGAGAGAAAGAGACUUUCCAUCCACUGGGUCAUUCCCCAAAUGGCCAUAGCACUGGGGCUGGACCAGGCUGAAGCCAGGAGCCUGGAACUCCAUCUGAGUCUCCCAUAUGGGUAGCAGGGGCCAAGGUACUUGGGCCAUCAUCUACUGCCUUCUUAGGUGCAUUAGCAGGAGCUAGAUCAGAAACAGAAUAGCCAAGGCUCCAACUGAUGUUCUAGUAUGGGAUACCAGCAUUGCAAGUUGGCUUUACAUGCUGAACCACAAUGCCAACUCCUUGGCUGCAUUUAAAUUGGCAAAUAGAGACACCUCAGCUCCUUCCUGAGAUGACAGAAGUUUUAUUAGCAGGUGACAUAUUUGAAAACCAUUGCAUGGGCAAGUAUUGCUUGGGGAGACUUAUCACUGGCAGUCGUAUGUCCUAUAGGAGGAUUCUUGUUAAUCUAUCGAUAUUUUUCUGACUUGGUCUUGAAUUUGAGGUGCAUCUUAUUUGAAAAGAGCAGUCCCCUGGGUACCGAUUACCCUGCCUGUUUUAGUUUCUUUUCAAAUUUAUCUGUGUGGUUCUUAAAACAUUUCAAUCUUAUCCAGGGUAUUAGUAUGCAAUCCCAUUACUUCAUUUCCCUCCAAGAGGUCCCUGCUGCCAGUGAAGCAAUGGUAUGAGUGCUAACAGCCUGGGCUUUGGAGGAAGGCUGCCCGCUUGCACAUCUUGGCUCACUGAGCACUUACACAAGCUGCUUAACCAGAAUGGGCCUCAGGCUCUUCCCUUGUGAAAUGAGGAUCCCAAAACAGUAUUUCACAGGGCAGGGUGGUGGAAGGAUUAAGUGAGACAAAAUAAGAUGCUGAAGAUCAUGUUUGGCCUGUGGCAAGCCCUGCGUAGAUGUUACGUGUUAGUAACAGAACAAAGAUGGCUCUCUCUGUGAGUUAGUAUCUCUCUGCCUGCCUAGCUCGCUGCUUGACUGUUUGACCCAAGUUUGAUGUUCCUGACAUCAAAUGGCUCGAAGCUCCCAGUACUCCCUGUGUAUAUUUGUUUAAUUCUGUUUGAGAUUACACAUGCAGACAUGUGCCUGCACACAUCGAUCCAACCAUUCAGACUCAGUUUAGCUAUCAGCUGUCAUCUUGUCCAGGGAGCCUACCACUCUGACCCACUUCUGCCCUGUUAGACACUGUCUCCUCUGUUUACUUCUUCCUCUCCUUGCACUGACUACAUUGUGAUAUCAUUAUCUUUAGCUCCUCACGGAGAAGAAAUGUGUCUUUUUCAUCUUCGUAGUUAGCAUUGUUUCUGGCACCAAGUAGACUUCAAUGAGUGUUUGCUGAAUAAAUGAUACAUAAAUUAAUUGAGAAUCCUAUACAAGAAUGGGGACCAUUUGUCUAUCAAACAGUUUGAUGAGGCAUUAUUGUUUCUGUAAAAGUAAGUGUAAGGUUUAUAAUUAUUCCACUUUACCCUACUCUAUUUUUUCUAGGUUUAUUUUAGAAAAUGUAUUAAUACUUCAUUGGUGAAGGUCAGAUUCCUUCCUGUGUUACAUUCAACUCCUCCAAAUUGCUUUGAACAAUGGCAAUGUGAUGGUGCCAAAUGUUAUGAAAGGCUUUAUCUCCUUCUGCCCCCCACAUAGACUCUGUCACUGCCAAGCAAGUUUUUAGAGGAGUGAAAUUCAAAGAUACUAUAUACUAAAUCAUCUAAAAAUAGUGCCUACCACUGUGCAAGACCCUGUAAUUAAAAUACUAAAAAGUAGUAUUUUAGUUCUAAAAAGCAUUUAUCAACUGAAAUAAUUUUUGAGUAAGUAUUUCAGCUAAAAAAAUCUUAACAAUGGGGCCCUUUGUAGUUACCAUUUUGAAAAUUGCUGUUAGAUAAUACAGUAGUCUCCCUUUACUCAUGGGAGGUACAUUCCAAGCCCCCCAGUGGAUUACUGAAUCCUACUAUGGUUUUCCUAUAUAUACAUACCUGUGAUAAAGCUUAACUUACAAAUUAGAUACAGUAAGAAAUGAAUAAUAAUUAACAAUAAAAUAGAAUAAUUAAAAUAAUAAUAUAUAAUUAUGA